This 74-nucleotide ribosomal RNA is filed under the name uncultured fungus. RNAcentral's name for it is "partial 5.8S ribosomal RNA". It matches the Rfam family "5.8S ribosomal RNA", at positions 84 to 154 of the family's 154-position model. Rfam says of the family: 5.8S ribosomal RNA (5.8S rRNA) is a component of the large subunit of the eukaryotic ribosome. It is transcribed by RNA polymerase I as part of the 45S precursor that also contains 18S and 28S rRNA. The record is from RNAcentral. Lineage: Eukaryota; Fungi.
GUGAAUCAUCGAAUCUUUGAACGCACCUUGCGCCCUUUGGCUAUUCCGAAGGGCAUGCCUGUUUGAGUAUCAUG